GGGUCUCCGCUCUCAGGACAGACGCCCGCCGAGCCCCACUCGGCCUGGAAUUUCCUCGUGGCCCUGGGGCUUCACACGCCAAGGGGCAGAAGGUGAAGGGAAAACGUUUGGCCCUCCCUUCCUGCACCGCGCUGUGGAGUCCCCGCAUCGCUGGGCCUCUGACCUUCACAGGCUCACACCGCUGUCCAGCCCAGGGCCCUGGGAUGCAAUCAUGGUUUCUAAAAUGCAUACAUUAUACCUCAAUUUGAAAGAAUGAAGAAAAGAGAAAGCACAGGAGAUCUUUGCAGCUUAACGUUUUAAGAGUCAAAGCUUUUGGUUCGCAGAUUGCUCAUAACUUCCCACGGAAGCAGAAGAUCCCUGGAUCCUCUUGUUUAGCCAUUUGGGAAACACUCCCCCAACGCCAGGGACUUGCCCCAGGUCCUGUCUGAGACUUGGAAGGAGCUUCUCAUGCAUGUCAUCCCUCGGGUUCCUAGAACAAUGAUGUGGGGGCACGAACCCCAGGACAAAAGCAGUGGUUUAAUCCUCAAGACAGGCUCAGCCCUUCACUCCAGUUCCUUCUUGCUGCUGGGCGACCUUCUGGAUAAUGGAAUAAGCUUUCGAGAUUUUAGGAACCCCCUCAUCAGAUAACCUGCCCUUUGGGGUGAAAACAUCCUGUGCUGUUAUGAGUUAGGAUACACAGCUGUUCCUGCCAGUUCCCUGGGUCUCUGCCCUGACUAGCUGGCCCAGGGCACCCACACAGGUCUCCUGGAAAGAUGUGGGUGGAUGUCUCAUGUCAAGGCCCAUGGCUGGAUGCUGACCCCCAGCAUCUGGGUGCCAGGGCCCAGGAGGGCCUGCAGGGUCUGAUGGCAGACCCUCCCUGUCCUGGGGCCAGGGACCCAAGUCUGUGGGGCAUACCAAGCACCAUGAGACUGCAAGUAGAGAAGCUUUCUAACCUUAACUUCCAUUCCAAGAGUUUCUUUGGGAUUCUGGAUGGUUGAACUUAUGUCCCUGGUGCGAGGGCUUAAAAAAAAAAAAUCUGAAAAUUUGUAGAAGAAAUUGUGUUAAGUAACUGUUGGCUGGAUGGGUGGAGGCAAAUGGGGUGGGGGUUUAGGAACUCUGAUCCCUUAGGAUAAGACAGUGAGCCUGUUCGCUUGAAGGUGGACAGCUGCCACCUUGCUUACCUUAAAGUCAGGAAUGGAGGCCACCUCACUUCACACAGAAAGACACCCUUGUGACUGGCAGCAUCUGGCCUUGGGGGCCAGUAGCAAUGACACAUACUGCCUCACCUGCAGCUUCUCCUGUUGACACCCACCCACAUGAUCCUGGGAGCCUGGGAUAGGAGCGGGGCACUUGGCCAUAGCAGGGGUCUCCCAGAGAGCAGGUCAGGGGAUAGGCCUGGCUCCAGACUUGUCCAGACCAGCAGAAUACCUCUGCUCCCCUGACCUGCCACCCAGUGGGAGGGAGGAAGCAAGAUACUCUUCUCCCCAUUUUACAGGUGAGUAAACAGAGGCACGCAGAUACUUGUCCCAGAAUCACCGACAGUGGAGGAACCAAAGCCAAACUGUGUGGGGUGGGUGGGGCAGGCCAUGGAGGAGGGAUUUCUCUUCCUUUCCUCUGUGUCCUUCUUUCACCAAGGGUAGCACCUGGUCCUGUGUCCCCCAUGUCACCGGGACAGCAGAGAACACAACAGAUGUACAGGUGCAAAGUCAUAGCAGAGUCCCUCUAGGCUGUGUCUUUCAUAGAAAUUAAACCCUGAGGUCCUGCCUCCGAGAUGGUGACCAGGAGGAAGGGCCAUUAGCCAGUGGGUGUCCGGGUGGCAGGACGAUUACCUGAACAUUUCAGGCACCAGAGGCCCAGCCCCUCCUGACCACAUCCCUCACCUGGAUUCCAGCUGUGUUCUCUUGGGUUGGACACUUCAUCACUCUGAGCUUCAGUUUCUUUUUCUGCAAAAUAAUCUCAAUUUACAGCGUUUGGGGAAGCUCAAGCAAGAAAAUGGUAUGAAAGAGUGCUUUAUAAACCAUAAAGUUCUGUAUACAUGCCAGUUCCUUAUUUUCCUGUUCUUGCUGGAGACCUCCUGCCAAGGCUUUUCUUCUAGGAAGUAGCAAGUUCCCCGGCUUCUUUCUGGCUGGUGGAAGCUUCCCUGGUCAACAGUUACUCUGCUAAUUUCAUUGUAAAAAUAAUAUUUUUAUUUUGUAUUCAGCUCUGUGGCUCUGCUGUUGUGUGUUGCUUGGUUCAUGGCAUGUCAGAUUGUCUGAAUCCAGGAUGUUUCCUGUCGGAGGCUUGUUUGUUCAGUGAACAUUCCAUGAAAAUAAGCAUGUAUUUAAGACAAAAUUGAAGUUAGAUGCUACCACCCCCAAGCUCAACCUAAUUCCAUUUUAAGUGUAUAAACAUUUUGGAAAAUGUUGAGUUCUGUAGCAAAUGUACUUAAUAAUAAUGAUGAUAAUAAUGGAGCCUCUGUUUUGUUUUUCUUUAUUCCAAGUCUGAUAUUUAAGCCUCCCUGGGGGUGCCCAGAAGCCUUCUGAGGGCCCCCAGGGUCCCCAGAGCUGGUGGCCUCCCGCACGCCUCACCCAACAACUGGGAGUCAAGGCCAAGCUCUGGGACCUGGAUGUGCGGAACCCUGUGGUGGAGACCCAGGCUUCUCGGGUGAAGGUCAUUGUCUGAAGUAAGGAAACAGUGAGGUUCUUCAGUGGCUCAGCAAACAUGACCUCACCUCAGUUGUCUUGGCUAUAAAAUGGGCUGAAGUGUCCCUGAGGUGAGAGAAGGUUAACUCUACUGUGACACCUCCCCACUUGUGUCCAUGGAGUGGAUUCCACAUUCCAUGUGAGUCAGUCGGUGUUGCCCGAAUCUGACUUGAAUUGGGAACUACUUCCCUUUCGUGGCCACUCACUGUAACUUAAGACCCCUCACAUACAGUCCAGGCUACUAUGUCAUUCUCUCCUCAGGGAAUUACACAACAAGCUUGCUGCGAGUUUUCAUCAGUGAUUACUUACACCAGAGGGAGGAGCACCGGGGCCCGAGGAAGAGCAGCCAGCUGACACUCAGCCACAGUGGAGAAGGGGCCCUAGCACCACAUCUUUCAGCCACUUUCUUUUUUAGCCCUGCUGGGCAUUUCUGGCCCUGAGGGAAGAUCUUCCACACACAGUAUUGGUCUGGGGUAUAUCAGUUUUAGACCAGGUAGAAGCAGAGAACUAAGUAUGUAAAAGCAAAGAAGAUACAUCAAAGUAUUUGUGGGUCAGGUCUUGAUUGAGCCUCACACACACGCAGCCUAACAGUUCAUGGCAACUGGAACUUCCCCCCAGGUCCACCUUCCAUGAGCAACCCUCUAGUGAUUAAGAAAUGUGACAAGGCCAGGAGAGAACAUGGCAGGUAAGGUAGAGACCGCUGGUUGGCCACCCAGUUCUUAUCUUCUUUCUUGCCAGUGGAACUGCGUCUCAUUGAGGGUAGCAGUGUGCAUUGAUAAAACAUUUUCCAGGCUCUCUUGCAGCCAGGAUGGCUUAAUGAGAUAUAGGCCAAGUCUUUGGUUUGAGUUUUCAGAGAAAAUCUUUACAUGAGGGCUGAGCUGGCGACAGGCUCUUCUUUCUUUCUGCAGCCUGGAAUACGGACAUGAGGGCUGGGGCUCCAGCAGCCAUCUAGUGACCGUAAAGUAAUUCUGACAAUGAAAAUUACAUGAUAAAGAAGUUUUUACAUAAGGAGAACCAAGUUUCCUGAUGACCCUGGAAUCAGGCUUUCUGCCCUGGAUUUCCUUUCUUGGAUUUCUUUCAUGGGAGCAAAGGGAAAAUCCGUGUCUUAUUUAAGCUUACUAUUUGGGCUUUCUGUUAUGUGACUGAACCUAAUCCUAAGUGAUACAGCUGACUAUUUAGACCUCAUCCCAUCACCAUGAUUAGAAAAACAAAAUACUCCCUUUGUAUACAAAAAGCAGAACAUUAAAAA
Molecule: long non-coding RNA, 3909 nt
Organism: Manis pentadactyla (Chinese pangolin)
Lineage: Eukaryota; Metazoa; Chordata; Mammalia; Pholidota; Manidae
Exons: 3
Source: RefSeq, a predicted model, not a curated record